Molecule: ribosomal RNA, 498 nt
Filed under: uncultured bacterium
Lineage: Bacteria
Description: partial 16S ribosomal RNA
Rfam family: Bacterial small subunit ribosomal RNA
Source: RNAcentral
AUUGAACGCUGGCGGCAUGCCUUACACAUGCAAGUCGAACGGUAACAGGUCUUCGGAUGCUGACGAGUGGCGAACGGGUGAGUAAUACAUCGGAACGUGCCUAGUAGUGGGGGAUAACUACUCGAAAGAGUGGCUAAUACAGCAUGAGAUCUACGGAUGAAAGCAGGGGAUCGCAAGACCUUGUGCUACUAGAGCGGCCGAUGGAAGAUUAGGUAGUUGGUGGGAUAAAAGCUUACCAAGCCGACGAUCUGUAGCUGGUCUGAGAGGACGAUCAGCAACACUGGGACUGAGACACGGCCCAGACUCCUACGGGAGGCAGCAGUGGGGAUUUUUGGACAAUGGGCGCAAGCCUGAUCCAGCAAUGCCGCGUGCAGGAUGAAGGCCUUCGGGUUGUAAACUGCUUUUGUACGGAACGAAAAGCCCUGGGUUAAUACCCUGGGGUCAUGACGGUACCGUGAGAAUAAGCACCGGCUAACUACGUGCCAGCCGCCGCCGUAA